GAAGAAGGUAUGAAGCCGGUCAAACUCCAUUUGUAGACUAAACCUAAUAACUUUGUAAGCCCACUUCAAAAUAAAAGCCCAUUUCGAAAAAACCCUUGAUCAAAUAAAAUUAGUUCCAGGAGUUAGGUGAGGAAGACAAAACCACGCUGCCUUACAAAUUUUGAUCAAGAACUGCAUCAAAUUUGACUCCGACGACGUGAACAUCAACAUCCCGCCGUUGCCCGGAGAUCUGUCGAUGGAAGCUUCGAACCUGAGUGGAUCUAAUCAUCGGGAGCAGAAUAUUCGGUGUGAUCGGAUGAAUUGAAGGUUCGGUUGUUCUGUAACGAUUGGGGUGUAUUAAAUCCUCGGGGUUGUUCUUGAAGGCGUUCUGGUGCUUGUAGUCAACUGUUCUAUACUCGCCCGUACAUUGCCCAUAUAAGUCGAGUUUAAUAACAACUUAAGUCAUCGUUGGUUGUCCCUGCUGUACUUCAUGGUUAUCUAUGCCCAUUCCCAGCUCUCAGGGCCCCACCUCCCUGCAUUAUCAUCCCCCCUUCCCUCUUCCCACUCUGUUAGUGAGAUUCGACUCCCUCUAAUCUCUACCACUUCAAAACACCGCCAUCUUCGUGUUGUCUGCUCCAGCAGUGAUGGUAGUGGUAGCAAGAAGGGAGUACCCAGUUCCAACUAUGUUGUGCCGCUCAAUAAAUCAUUUUCCGCAGCUAACUCAUCCUGAAUCACCCGACCCCUUGCCGAGAUCCUCCGGGAUCUAAACAAGAGAAUCCCCGAUAACAUUGCCCAGAAACUUCCUCAAUCCGCUACUUUCAUCCCUUGGUUUCAUGCCAAUAGAAUGCUGAGUUUCUACGCCCCUGGAUGGUGUGGAGAAAUACGAGACGUUAUAUUCUCCCACAAUGGAAGCGUGACUGUAAGAGGAUCUGAUGGAGAGGCACACCGUGAAUCGACUGGAACAGUAUCAGCCACCAAUAGCAGUAAUGAAGAUCCUGUAGCUGCUGCAGAGGAAAUAGCUUUUUGCAAGGCUUGUGCAAGAUUUGGGCUCGGUUUGUAUCUGUACCAUGAAGAAUGAAUGAAUGCCAUGCUUAUGCUUCCAACAUGUAUUGAAUUGAAGUUAUUUUGUAGAAAUGGGUAUAAUGUUGUUGGCCUUCAACUUUAGAAACCUCA
Molecule: long non-coding RNA, 1152 nt
Organism: Cucurbita maxima (winter squash)
Lineage: Eukaryota; Viridiplantae; Streptophyta; Magnoliopsida; Cucurbitales; Cucurbitaceae
Exons: 3
Source: RefSeq, a predicted model, not a curated record